AGCAGGGGCUCGGGGUGCACUGGAGGAUGGGACUGCCAUACGUAAAUAGACCUGGAGUGAAACAACACCAUUCCAGCAGGACAGUCCAUCUGCAGAAGACAACUCACUGACGCACAGCUGAUCUGACAGACCACCAUAAAACCAGAUGGCAGACUAACACAUCUGUGCCAGUGUUUACAACCUACAUGUCAACCACUGGAAACAUCCAAUAAAUCAUAAAGGUCUUGUGAAAGAAAAACAAGCAGAUGUACACAGUGUGACUAAAACUGAUCUUAAAAACAAAUGA
Long non-coding RNA from Paramisgurnus dabryanus, 286 nucleotides. RefSeq lists it as uncharacterized. The record is from RefSeq and is a predicted model, not a curated record. NCBI's taxonomy places the organism in Eukaryota, Metazoa, Chordata, Actinopteri, Cypriniformes, Cobitidae.